AUGAGCUUUUGUUUUUUUUUUAAAUUAGGCAGCCAGGGCCAGCUACGGUCUCCACUGCAGUUUGAGUCAGGCCACCAGGAAGAAUCGGCAUGCCAGGGACUCUCGACUUUACUUGUUGUACUUCAUCCUUAUUCCCAGGGAUGGUUGCUUUUCACAGCGGACGAGAAGCUGCCAGCCUGCCCCCAGCCCCGGGCGGAGCAGUGGACAGAGGACAGACGGCCCUGGCAGCACCGUGAGAAGGGAGGCCGUGGGUCUGUUGGAUGCUCAGGCUCAGAGCAUCCCUCUCGCCCCCACAGUCUCCGCCCUCUCCGCAGCUGCGUAAUCACCCCCCAACCCCCGCCGCCAGCUGCCCUCUCAUCCCUGUAACCCUGAGUGAUGCUCGAUUCUGUGUUCAUCUCGAUCUCACCCCUUCACCCAGCGUGAGGAACUGGAAAACUCACCAACCUGACUUAUUCAUCCAUACAUUUGGCAUAAAAAGAAGUCUAGCAUUUUCAUUUUGACGUCUCACUCCUUCGCCGUUGAUUCCUCGGAUAGUGGCGGUCUCGCCGGGUGAGUUCUGCUUCCACCGUUCUUCAGGUGCAGAGGGAUUCCGUUCUUUGCCCAAAAGCAGCAUUCUUUUCACAAAUGUAUUUUGCAUGUAAGUUCCUAGCCACUCUCUUUUGUGGCGAUCUUUUAGGGAUGGGGUGGUUGUGGCUGUCACAUCUCUCUAGCAGAAACCGUCCUUGCCAGCUACAAGGUCCCUGCUCCACCCGGAGGGCGUGGGGAACCAGUCGGCUCCGCUUUGGGCAGCGAGCGCGGGUCCAGAGGGACUCUUAUUCUUGAGUCUCUUGCUUUCCCACACCCACUGAUACUGCUGCCCCCACCCUGCUGGCUCCUGCCAGCUCCCUGCCCCACCCAGGCAGAGCUGUCUCUAGGCUCUGCCAUCUGGGAGAAACUCCAGGGCAGCCCUGGGUGGCUCAGCCGCCAGGCUUGCUGCUGCUAACCCUGAAGUGAAGUUAAGUCGCUCAGUCGUGUCCGACUCUGCGACCCCAUGGACUGUAGCCCACCAGGCUCCUCCAUCCAUGGAAUUUUCCAGGCAAGAGUACUGGAGUGGCUUGCCAUUUCCCUCUCCAGGGGAUCUUCCUGACCCAGGGAUCAAACCCAGGUCUCCCACAUUGCAGGCAGACGCUUCCAUCAAAUCCGUCCCCUUCCCGCAUUCCCUUAGUCCCACCACCCAAGCAGGGCAGCGCCUCUCUUGCCCUGACCACGUGCCAUCCUCUUACUUGACACCCUUAUCUCCCACAUUGAUCUCUACCAACUCACCCCCUUUCCCUCUACUUUGCAGCAGGAAUGACUUCUCCAAAUCCCAAGUCUUAAUCACGUGAUUCCCCUGCUUACUCAUGCCCAGGUUUCCUACUGCUCACAAGUCGGAACUGCUGAACGUACUUGGAGGAAGGCUUCACAAACCUGAUUGUGCAGCAGAUCCCCAGGGGAUCUUAAAAUGCGGAUUCUGAUUCAAUAAAUCUGGAAUCAGGCCUGAAAUUCUUCAUUUCUAAUAAACUUCCAGCUGAAGCCAGUGUUGCAGGUCUGUGCAUAUACUUUGAGGAGCAAGGAAAUGCGGGGCUCCUGCCUAUCUCCCCAGCCUCACCCCUUGCCACCUCCGCAACUCUCCUCCGGCCACAUGGGGCUUAUUCUAGCCCCCAGAAGAAACCAAGCCCUCACUUACCCCUGGGCCUUUGCAUGUGCGCCCUCCCUACAGCACUCUCUUACCCUCCCUGGCUGGCUCCUGUGCUGUUGCAGUUGAGACCAUAGAAGUCGCUUCCUCUAGGAAGCCUUCUCUGAUUCUCCCAAGUCCAGGAGACAGAUUAUUAAGCAUAUUUGUGGUCUGGCAGUGGUGUGAGGUGGAGG
Molecule: long non-coding RNA, 1887 nt
Organism: Cervus hanglu yarkandensis (Yarkand deer)
Lineage: Eukaryota; Metazoa; Chordata; Mammalia; Artiodactyla; Cervidae
Source: Ensembl